This 136-nucleotide small nuclear RNA is filed under the name Amborella trichopoda. RNAcentral describes it as "snRNA U4". It matches the Rfam family "U4 spliceosomal RNA". From Rfam's summary of the family: U4 small nuclear RNA (U4 snRNA) is a component of the major U2-dependent spliceosome. The structure of U4 snRNA from yeast and human has been reported. The record is from Rfam by way of RNAcentral. Lineage: Eukaryota; Viridiplantae; Streptophyta; Magnoliopsida; Amborellales; Amborellaceae.
AUCUUUGCGCUUGGGGCAAUGACGCAACUAGUGAGGUAAAACCGAGGCACGUCAAUUGUUGGUCGAAAACUAUUUCCAAACAUUUACCCCUUACUGAUAAGUAGUGUUCGAAAAUUCGGCUGCCCAACUGUCUUGG